GACCCAGACCCAAGGAUGCAACACGGCCCUCUGCCCAGGUGAGCGCUGUGAGGACAGGGAUCGAGCCUCCCAGGACAGCUGUGCCAACAAGUGUCCUCGCAGCUGCACUGACCUAUGGGAGCAUGUGCAGUGUCUCCAAGGAGCCUGUCACCCGGGUUGUCGGUGUCCAGAAGGACAGCUGUUGCAAGAUGGCCGCUGCGUGCCAGUGACAGAAUGUCGUUGUGGUAUCCCAUCAGGCAACGGGAC
Molecule: non-coding RNA, 246 nt
Organism: Maylandia zebra (zebra mbuna)
Lineage: Eukaryota; Metazoa; Chordata; Actinopteri; Cichliformes; Cichlidae
Source: RefSeq, a predicted model, not a curated record